AUUGAACGCUGGCGGCAGGCCUAACACAUGCAAGUCGAGCGAGCGGCGGACGGGUGAGUAAUGUCUGGGAAACUGCCUGCUGGAGGUGGAUAACUACUGGAAACGGUAGCUCAUACCGCAUACCCUCAGAUUUGCCCAGAUGGGAUUAGCGGGUAGGGGGGGUAACGGCGCACCUAGGCGACGCUCCCUAGCUGGUCUGAGAGGAUGAACAGCCACACUGGAACUGAGACACGGUCCAGACUCCUACGGUAGGCAGCAGGGGGGAAUAUUGCACAAUGGGCGCAAGCCUGAUGCAGCCAUGCCGCGUGUGUGAAGAAGGCCUUCGGGUUGUAAAGCACUUUCAGCGGGGAGGCGUUACCCGCAGAAGAAGCACCGGCUAACUCCGUGCCAGCAGCCGCGGUAAUAC
Molecule: ribosomal RNA, 406 nt
Filed under: uncultured bacterium
Lineage: Bacteria
Description: partial 16S ribosomal RNA
Rfam family: Bacterial small subunit ribosomal RNA
Source: RNAcentral